GGGUUGUGAGGUUAAGCGACUAAGCGUACACGGUGGAUGCCCUGGCAGUCAGAGGCGAUGAAGGACGUGCUAAUCUGCGAAAAGCGUCGGUAAGGUGAUAUGAACCGUUAUAACCGGCGAUGUCCGAAUGGGGAAACCCAGUGCAAUUCGUUGCACUAUCGUUAACUGAAUACAUAGGUUAACGAGGCGAACCGGGGGAACUGAAACAUCUAAGUACCCCGAGGAAAAGAAAUCAACCGAGAUUCCCCCAGUAGCGGCGAGCGAACGGGGAGCAGCCCAGAGUCUGAAUCAGCUUGUGUGUUAGUGGAACGGUCUGGAAAGUCCGACGGUACAGGGUGAUAGUCCCGUACACCAAAAUGCACAGGCUGUGAACUCGAAGAGUAGGGCGGGACACGUGGUAUCCUGUCUGAAUAUGGGGGGACCAUCCUCCAAGGCUAAAUACUCCUGACUGACCGAUAGUGAACCAGUACCGUGAGGGAAAGGCGAAAAGAACCCCGGCGAGGGGAGUGAAAAAGAACCUGAAACCGUGUACGUACAAGCAGUGGGAGCACCUUCGGGUGUGACUGCGUACCUUUUGUAUAAUGGGUCAGCGACUUAUAUUCUGUAGCAAGGUUAACCGUAUAGGGGAGCCGCAGGGAAACCGAGUCUUAACUGGGCGUUAAGUUGCAGGGUAUAGACCCGAAACCCGGUGAUCUAGCCAUGGGCAGGUUGAAGGUUGGGUAACACUAACUGGAGGACCGAACCGACUAAUGUUGAAAAAUUAGCGGAUGACUUGUGGCUGGGGGUGAAAGGCCAAUCAAACCGGGAGAUAGCUGGUUCUCCCCGAAAGCUAUUUAGGUAGCGCCUCGUGAAUUCAUCUUCGGGGGUAGAGCACUGUUUCGGCUAGGGGGUCAUCCCGACUUACCAACCCGAUGCAAACUACGAAUACCGAAGAAUGUUAUCACGGGAGACACACGGCGGGUGCUAACGUCCGUCGUGAAGAGGGAAACAACCCAGACCGCCAGCUAAGGUCCCAAAGUCAUGGUUAAGUGGGAAACGAUGUGGGAAGGCACAGACAGCCAGGAUGUUGGCUUAGAAGCAGCCAUCAUUUAAAGAAAGCGUAAUAGCUCACUGGUCGAGUCGGCCUGCGCGGAAGAUGUAACGGGGCUAAACCAUGCACCGAAGCUGCGGCAGCGACACUAUGUGUUGUUGGGUAGGGGAGCGUUCUGUAAGCCUGCGAAGGUGACCUGUGAGGGUUGCUGGAGGUAUCAGAAGUGCGAAUGCUGACAUAAGUAACGAUAAAGCGGGUGAAAAGCCCGCUCGCCGGAAGACCAAGGGUUCCUGUCCAACGUUAAUCGGGGCAGGGUGAGUCGACCCCUAAGGCGAGGCCGAAAGGCGUAGUCGAUGGGAAACAGGUUAAUAUUCCUGUACUUGGUGUUACUGCGAAGGGGGGACGGAGAAGGCUAUGUUAGCCGGGCGACGGUUGUCCCGGUUUAAGCAUGUAGGCUGGUUAUCCAGGCAAAUCCGGAUAAUCAAGGCUGAGGUGUGAUGACGAGGCACUACGGUGCUGAAGUAACAAAUGCCCUGCUUCCAGGAAAAGCCUCUAAGCAUCAGGUAACAUCAAAUCGUACCCCAAACCGACACAGGUGGUCAGGUAGAGAAUACCAAGGCGCUUGAGAGAACUCGGGUGAAGGAACUAGGCAAAAUGGUGCCGUAACUUCGGGAGAAGGCACGCUGGUGUGUAGGUGAAGUCCCUGCGGAUGGAGCUGAGACCAGUCGAAGAUACCAGCUGGCUGCAACUGUUUAUUAAAAACACAGCACUGUGCAAACACGAAAGUGGACGUAUACGGUGUGACGCCUGCCCGGUGCCGGAAGGUUAAUUGAUGGGGUUAUCCGUAAGGAGAAGCUCUUGAUCGAAGCCCCGGUAAACGGCGGCCGUAACUAUAACGGUCCUAAGGUAGCGAAAUUCCUUGUCGGGUAAGUUCCGACCUGCACGAAUGGCGUAAUGAUGGCCAGGCUGUCUCCACCCGAGACUCAGUGAAAUUGAACUCGCUGUGAAGAUGCAGUGUACCCGCGGCAAGACGGAAAGACCCCGUGAACCUUUACUAUAGCUUGACACUGAACAUUGAGCCUUGAUGUGUAGGAUAGGUGGGAGGCUUUGAAGCGUGGACGCCAGUCUGCGUGGAGCCAACCUUGAAAUACCACCCUUUAAUGUUUGAUGUUCUAACGUUGGCCCUUACCGGGGUUGCGGACAGUGUCUGGUGGGUAGUUUGACUGGGGCGGUCUCCUCCCAAAGCGUAACGGAGGAGCACGAAGGUUAGCUAAUCCUGGUCGGACAUCAGGAGGUUAGUGCAAUGGCAUAAGCUAGCUUGACUGCGAGCGUGACGGCGCGAGCAGGUGCGAAAGCAGGUCAUAGUGAUCCGGUGGUUCUGAAUGGAAGGGCCAUCGCUCAACGGAUAAAAGGUACUCCGGGGAUAACAGGCUGAUACCGCCCAAGAGUUCAUAUCGACGGCGGUGUUUGGCACCUCGAUGUCGGCUCAUCACAUCCUGGGGCUGAAGUAGGUCCCAAGGGUAUGGCUGUUCGCCAUUUAAAGUGGUACGCGAGCUGGGUUUAGAACGUCGUGAGACAGUUCGGUCCCUAUCUGCCGUGGGCGCUGGAGAAUUGAGGGGGGCUGCUCCUAGUACGAGAGGACCGGAGUGGACGCAUCACUGGUGUUCGGGUUGUCAUGCCAAUGGCACUGCCCGGUAGCUAAAUGCGGAAGAGAUAAGUGCUGAAAGCAUCUAAGCACGAAACUUGCCCCGAGAUGAGUUCUCCCUGAGACUUUAAGUCUCCUGAAGGAACGUUAAAGACGAUGACGUUGAUAGGCCGGGUGUGUAAGCGCAGCGAUGCGUUGAGCUAACCGGUACUAAUGAACCGUGAGGCUUAACCUUACAACGCCGAAG
RNAcentral lists this ribosomal RNA (2922 nucleotides) under Klebsiella pneumoniae. RNAcentral's name for it is "bacterial LSU rRNA". It matches the Rfam family "Bacterial large subunit ribosomal RNA". Lineage: Bacteria; Pseudomonadati; Pseudomonadota; Gammaproteobacteria; Enterobacterales; Enterobacteriaceae. The record is from RNAcentral.